This is a long non-coding RNA of Venturia canescens, 2131 nucleotides long. RefSeq lists it as uncharacterized. The transcript is spliced from 4 exons. NCBI's taxonomy places the organism in Eukaryota, Metazoa, Arthropoda, Insecta, Hymenoptera, Ichneumonidae. The record is from RefSeq and is a predicted model, not a curated record.
GGGCGGGCGGAGAGAACGGGGGACUGAAGUGGGGAGCUGAGGGGAGGGGAAAAUCGUGGAAGUCGACGUGCGCUGAUCGCGACGUAACGGAGAAGAGAAGAGACACGAGAGUUUGAGGCUAGCGCGCAGACGAUCAACACACGAAUAACAGCUCUUAUAUAAAUUUGUCGAGCGGUCGAGCGAUCACGAAAUGGUCACGAGCAGGUCAAACGAGAUACGGAAGUUUUGAAAAAAGUCUCCGAAAAUCACGGGGAAUGUCGACGGUUGGAAAAACGCGAAUGAGAACAUCUUUCGAACGACUCGAUCCAGAUCGACACCGUUUUCUCAGCGAAUCACUCUCGGGACGUUCGUCCAGUCCCAUUCGAUUCAACGCACGUGGAGCGAGGGCCCUCAGCGCGGAGACCGAGAUAUUUGAAUACCGAAGAUUUUUAUCUCAGAAAAAAUCUUUUCACGAGUCAACUCCAGCGUGAAAGGAAGCUCGGACUCCGGAGUUUUCGCUUCGCUCGGAAUGCCCCGUACAUAUAAUUGUGUAUACAUAUAAAGCCGCAUACGUAUAUCCGUAUAAUUGUAGAUGGAGCCUUUUGGCGCGUGCUCGACCAACUCAAUUGAGUCAUCCGUGCACACGGCGUGCAAAAGAAGGAGAUCGCCUAGCUUCUAUAGAUAUGAGUGUAAAUUUAUGUGAGCUACAUGUGUAUAGGUCGGCGGUGAAAAAUUUUUUCUGCAAUCCCGGCGACUCGGAGUCUCCCGAAUCGCUGACACGAUUUUCCCUGACGUCAGACACACGAGCAGAAGUGAACGCCUCGAGGGGUGCGCGAACUCCGAUGACUCGUUUUCCAAGAUUAACAUUUCGAAUUCUUCAUAUUUACGGAUCGGUGGAAACUCGGAUUCUGGACGAGCUCGUUUCGCAAGAGGAAGCAACCGAUUCGCUCACUAAAUAUUUUUCACUGGAAGCCUUCCAGGAAAACCAAAUUCCGGGAAUAAAUACACGUUAAUGAUGAUGAUUCAGGGUCCAUCGAGAAGUUUCUACCGAUGAUUCUCGUCGGUUUGGGUUCAGCGAAAUCGAUUUUUCAAAGUACCGAUAGCGGCGACAAUGAAAUCUUCGUUUUGUCAGUUUUUACUCUCAAAUGAAAGUCGCUAUUGAGCUAUUAGCGAUAAUAAUUGGUAUCGAUUUAACGAGCUGAGCUCGAAUGCUCAACCGCCAACCUUCCGAAGAGCGCGCGUGCGCGAUAAAACCAUUUUCCUGUUAAUUCGAUAAGAGUUUCGAUGGAAAUCGAUAAGAGCUCGAGGGAUUGAGCGAGAGUUGUCAAUUGUCAUGAUUUUUUAUUGCUCCUUCCAACUGCGAGGCCCGACGAGCCAUUAGCAGGAAGUGUUCGAGCCAUGGUGCACGAUCCACAGGCUCUCGACCGAGGGAAUAAAACCGUCAGAAGACUCGAGGGAAACCUGUGACAGGGAAAAGGAAAUCAGGCGGUUGAGAAGUUGACAGUCGCCUUGAUUCCUCCCGUGAAUCAUUUUCAUCACGAUUUUAUCUUCUCCGUACAUUUUCUUUGUUUUAUCGCUCGUCGAACCGAUUCUUAUCGAUUUUUAUGAAGCUUUUCCCUCUCAUUUUUACCCAAUUUCGUUCUAAAGAAUCUUAAGUUCUGAUAAGUACUUCACAAAGUGUAAUUAAUCGUCAGAGUCCCUCGCUCGUUUCGAGGAACUCAAUCGUUGUCCACCUCCAUUUACGAUUCCGAUAUUCAGUUUUUCUCAUCACGAUUUCUUCCCUCCUUCCACGUCAUGGAGCUCAGAACAAAUGGAAAGAAAGAUAAUGACUGGAAACUUUCGAACGAAUAUGAAAGUACAACGAAAAAUGGAAUUUUCAUCGUCGCGUCAAUAAAUCUGACUCACUGAACUUUCAAAGGAUGUGUCUCCUCGAAAUAUCGACGACUAGUUUCGUCGGGUACUCCACUUGAAAAAUUCAUCGAUAUUAUGCACAAAUUUCCUGUAAAAAAGGUCGAUUUCAACGCAAAAAUCCCCGUCCUUAAGGUAGACGAUUUUAUGGGUGUCUAAAUUGGGUCGAUUUUUACUUCCUAAUUAAAUAUAUUAUCACUCUGAACUAAUGUCAGAGUUAUUAAUUCAACAUUGUAAACGAAUA